AGUCAAUAGAUACCCCGGUAGUCCACGCCGUAAACGAUGAGUACUAGGUGUAGGAGGUAUCGACUCCUUCUGUGCCGCAGUUAAACACAAUAAGUACUCCGCCUGGGAAGUACGGUCGCAAGAUUAAAACUCAAAGGAAUUGACGGGGGCCCGCACAAGCAGCGGAGCAUGUGGUUUAAUUCGAAGCAACGCGAAGAACCUUACCUAGACUUGACAUCUCCUGAAUAGCGCAGAGAUGCGUGAAGCCCUUCGGGGCAGGAAGACAGGUGGUGCAUGGUUGUCGUCAGCUCGUGUCGUGAGAUGUUGGGUUAAGUCCCGCAACGAGCGCAACCCCGUAUUAUUAGUUGCUACCAUUAAGUUGAGCACUCUAAUGAGACUGCCCGGGUUAACCGGGAGGAAGGCGGGGAUGACGUCAAAUCAUCAUGCCCCUUAUGUCUAGGGCUACACACGUGCUACAAUGGUGAGAACAACGAGAUGCAAUACCGCGA
Molecule: ribosomal RNA, 488 nt
Filed under: uncultured bacterium
Lineage: Bacteria
Description: bacterial SSU rRNA
Rfam family: Bacterial small subunit ribosomal RNA
Source: RNAcentral